This 253-nucleotide ribosomal RNA is filed under the name uncultured bacterium. RNAcentral describes it as "partial 16S ribosomal RNA". It matches the Rfam family "Bacterial small subunit ribosomal RNA", at positions 524 to 776 of the family's 1533-position model. The record is from RNAcentral.
UACAGAGGGCUCAAGCGUUGUUCGGAUUCAUUGGGCGUAAAGGGUGUGUAGGUGGCGCGCUAAGUCGGGUGUGAAAUUUCGGAGCUUAACUCCGAAACUGCAUUCGAUACUGGCGUGCUUGAGGACUGGAGAGGAGACUGGAAUUCAUGGUGUAGCAGUGAAAUGCGUAGAGAUCAUGAGGAAGACCAGUGGCGAAGGCGGGUCUCUGGACAGUUCCUGACACUGAGACACGAAGGUCAGGGGAGCAAACGGG